CGUAAAUGCAAAGCUAUGACAGGUCUCAGCUGGACAGUGUUUGUGUGUUUACACGAUUUUUUACUCCAGUUUAUAAAAGAAAGAAGCUUUAAAGUGCCUACACAAGACCAACUAUUUAUAACAUUGCUCAAACUUCGACAAAACCCAUCAAUCUCCCUUCUCUGUCAUGUCCUGAAUAUGAAAACCUCGACCGUGACUGACAUGCUAACCAGAUGGAUCAAUAUCAUGCAUUCCAAAAUAACAUUUCUCAUUCAUUGGCCAGACAGGGAAUGUAUCUUUACUGCAAUGCCUCCUGUUAUGAAAGCGAAAUUCCCACAGCUAACAUCCAUCAUUGACUGUUUUGAGAUACGCAUCGAAUAUUCAAGGAAAUUGAAGGCAAGAGCAAAGACGUACUCUCACUACAAGAAGUGGGCUACGGUGAAGUACUUCAUUGCUUGUAACCCAGCUGGGAGUGUCACGUUUUUAUCGAAGGGAUGGGGUGGCAGAGCAUCUGAUGUCAAGAUUGUUAGACAGUCAGGAUUCAUAUCCCACCUGUACCACCAACCUGGAGAUCAGAUCUUAGCUGAUCGAGGUUUUACACUUCAAGAGGACUUUGCAUUGUUAGGUGCACAUCUCAUUACUCCAGCAUUUACAAAGGGGAGGAAACAGCUGUCAGGAAGAGAAGUGGAAGAAUCCAGACUGAAAUCCAAUGUGCGGAUUC
Long non-coding RNA from Alosa sapidissima (American shad), 700 nucleotides. RefSeq lists it as uncharacterized. The record is from RefSeq and is a predicted model, not a curated record. The transcript has 3 exons. Lineage: Eukaryota; Metazoa; Chordata; Actinopteri; Clupeiformes; Clupeidae.